Molecule: ribosomal RNA, 253 nt
Filed under: uncultured bacterium
Lineage: Bacteria
Description: partial 16S ribosomal RNA
Rfam family: Bacterial small subunit ribosomal RNA
Source: RNAcentral
UACGUAGGGUGCGAGCGUUAAUCGGAAUUACUGGGCGUAAAGCGUGCGCAGGCGGUCUUUUAAGUCAGAUGUGAAAUCCCCGGGCUUAACCUGGGAACUGCGUUUGAAACUGGAAGGCUUGAGUGUGGCAGAGGGGGGUGGAAUUCCACGUGUAGCAGUGAAAUGCGUAGAUAUGUGGAGGAACACCGAUGGCGAAGGCAGCCCCCUGGGCUAACACUGACGCUCAUGCACGAAAGCGUGGGGAGCAAACAGG